GGCGUCGUAGCCAAGUGGCAAGGCAGAGGUCUGCAAAACCUUCACCGUGGGUUCGAUUCCCACCGACGCCU
This 71-nucleotide transfer RNA is filed under the name Pseudomonadota bacterium. RNAcentral's name for it is "tRNA-Cys". It matches the Rfam family "tRNA". From Rfam's summary of the family: Transfer RNA (tRNA) molecules are approximately 80 nucleotides in length. Their secondary structure includes four short double-helical elements and three loops (D, anti-codon, and T loops). The record is from RNAcentral. Lineage: Bacteria; Pseudomonadati; Pseudomonadota. RNAcentral also lists the same sequence under 4 other names.